CCUACGGGUGGCAGCAGUGGGGAAUAUUGGGCAAUGGGCGCAAGCCUGACCCAGCAACGCCGCGUGAAGGAAGAAGGCUUUCGGGUUGUAAACUUCUUUUAAGAGGGAAGAGCAGAAGACGGUACCUCUUGAAUAAGCCACGGCUAACUACGUGUCAGCAGCCGCGGUAAUACGUAGGUGGCAAGCGUUGUCCGGAUUUACUGGGUGUAAAGGGCGUGCAGGCGGGAAGACAAGUCAGUUGUGAAAGCCGGCGGCUCAACCGGGGAACUGCAUUUGAUACUGUUUGUCUUGAGUAACGGAGAGGGCAUCGGAAUUCCUGGUGUAGCGGUGAAAUGCGUAGAUAUAGGGAAGAACACUAGUGGCGAAGGCGGAUGACUGGACGGCAACUGACGGUGAGGCACGAAGGCGUGGGGAGCGAACAGGAUUAGAUACCCGGGUAGUC
Molecule: ribosomal RNA, 442 nt
Filed under: uncultured bacterium
Lineage: Bacteria
Description: partial 16S ribosomal RNA
Rfam family: Bacterial small subunit ribosomal RNA
Source: RNAcentral